Molecule: long non-coding RNA, 799 nt
Organism: Solanum tuberosum (potato)
Lineage: Eukaryota; Viridiplantae; Streptophyta; Magnoliopsida; Solanales; Solanaceae
Exons: 3
Source: RefSeq, a predicted model, not a curated record
UGUUAGGCGCCUCUGUCUAAGAGGGCUUGUCCAGAUGCCAUCUAUCCAUGUUCUCUAGUAUACUAUUCAAAUCCUAGGGGUGAUAUUAGCUUUCAGUGACUGAGAUGAGUCGGUUCAGUUAACUGCAGUAUCACGUUUGCUGAUGGUUCUCGAGUCCUCAUCCAGGGAUGCGGUUGAACCUAUUCUCCUGGACCUCUCUAUACGGCUUCGGAAUCUCCAAGUAAGUUGAUUCACUAACCAAUGUAACUUUCUUCAACUUUGGAUUUUCUGGUACCAUAAUAGCUUCAAAUUUGUUGAAUUACUGUACUAAUCUGGUUGUAUCACAUUCCAAAUUAUUUGUUUAGAGCUGAUAACAGGGUGGCAUUGUGUUAAAAAGACUUUUGUAUCAGGACACUGUCUAACACUACUCUGUUUGGACAUUCUAUGGUGAUGUCUUUUGCAACAUGAUAUUUUGCAUUAUUUCUCAAGCUUCAAGACAUGUCUCUUGAUACAAGUUGUACUUGAAUUUUAUAUUAUACCCCUUAAGUGUAUGUGCAAGUUGUUAAAUAUAUGAGUGACACCCAUUUAUUGUACUGUGUUAGUGUUGCCGCCUAUGUUGCUCGGACUCUUCAAAAAUGCCGAUGAGUGUAUGUCGGAUCCUCCAAAAGUAGUACAUUUGGACGAUCCAACACGGAUGCAUCAACAUUUUUGGACCGUCUGAACAACAUAGGUUGCCACAAUUGUAGUCUUAAGUUCUAAAAGAGCUGAAGUAAUUUAAUGGUAGGUUUUAUAUUUUGCCUUUGAAAAUUAGUGCAUAUCG